GUUGGAGAAACUCGGCUAGAUUUUC
Molecule: non-coding RNA, 25 nt
Filed under: Cricetulus griseus (Chinese hamster)
Lineage: Eukaryota; Metazoa; Chordata; Mammalia; Rodentia; Cricetidae
Source: RNAcentral